This 25-nucleotide non-coding RNA is filed under the name Rattus norvegicus (Norway rat). Lineage: Eukaryota; Metazoa; Chordata; Mammalia; Rodentia; Muridae. The record is from RNAcentral.
UAGAUUCCCAGUGAUGCCUGAAAAU